UUGAAGCCUAGCGAUAUGUAAGUUAGUGGCGGACGGGUGAGUAACGCGUGGGUAACCUGCCUUGUACUGGGGGACAACAGUUGGAAACGACUGCUAAUACCGCAUAAGCGCACGGUAUCGCAUGAUACAGUGUGAAAAACUCCGGUGGUAUAAGAUGGACCCGCGUCUGAUUAGCUUGUUGGUGAGGUAACGGCUCACCAAGGCGACGAUCAGUAGCCGGCCUGAGAGGGUGAUCGGCCACACUGGAACUGAGACACGGUCCAGACUCC
RNAcentral lists this ribosomal RNA (269 nucleotides) under uncultured Lachnospiraceae bacterium. RNAcentral describes it as "partial 16S ribosomal RNA". It matches the Rfam family "Bacterial small subunit ribosomal RNA", at positions 59 to 339 of the family's 1533-position model. Lineage: Bacteria; Bacillati; Bacillota; Clostridia; Lachnospirales; Lachnospiraceae. The record is from RNAcentral.